Molecule: non-coding RNA, 61 nt
Organism: Pristionchus pacificus
Lineage: Eukaryota; Metazoa; Nematoda; Chromadorea; Rhabditida; Neodiplogasteridae
Source: Rfam
UCUUCGUUCCGCCUGCUCUCUCACCGGUCAGAGAGGCGAGAGAGCGCGUGAAAUGAAGAGA